UAAGAAAUAUAGCUACGUGUAGUUAUUUGCCGGUACCGUAUGAAUAAGCAUCGGCUAACUCCGUGCCAGCAGCCGCGGUAAUACGGAGGAUGCGAGCGUUAUCCGGAUUCAUUGGGUUAAAGGGUGCGUAGGCGGAAGUAUAAGUCAGGGGUGAAAGUUUGUGGCUCAACCAUAAAAUUGCCUUUGAUACUGUAUUUCUUGAGUACAUUUGAGGUAGGCGGAAUGUGUUGUGUAGCGGUGAAAUGCUUAGAUAUAACACAGAACACCGAUUGCGAAGGCAGCUUACUAAACUAGUAACUGACGCUGAUGCACGAAAGCGUGGGGAUCGAACAGGAUUAGAUACCCCUGGUAG
RNAcentral lists this ribosomal RNA (352 nucleotides) under uncultured bacterium. Its description in RNAcentral is "bacterial SSU rRNA". It matches the Rfam family "Bacterial small subunit ribosomal RNA", at positions 444 to 793 of the family's 1533-position model. The record is from RNAcentral.